Neofelis nebulosa (Clouded leopard) is the source of this 1031-nucleotide long non-coding RNA. RefSeq lists it as uncharacterized. The record is from RefSeq and is a predicted model, not a curated record. The transcript is spliced from 5 exons. NCBI's taxonomy places the organism in Eukaryota, Metazoa, Chordata, Mammalia, Carnivora, Felidae.
GGAACCAUUGAAGGUUCUUGAGCAGAGGAGGAACCAAGUCAGAGCUGAAGGUUAGCUGAAGAUGACUUUAGGAGCUAUGUGAACACUUACUGCCUACAGAGCCUGUGUGAUAUUGUGAUUUAUAAUAAGGAAUAUAUACACAGUCUUAUGGUUCCUGGCACAGAGCUCCUAAGAACCUUGGAAUUUCCUAAGUGAUGAGAGCCAUAAAGGUGUCUUUGUUGUGUCAAUGAGGUGACUUUUGAACAACCGGUGGAACCAACCAUGCGAUUAGAGAACUUUCAGUCUCAUCCUCAACCUCCUGGGAGAAGAGAGGAGCUGGAGCUCAAGCACCAACGGCCAGUGAUUUAAUCAAUCACAACUAGGCAGGACUGAUCUCCUCCUCACCCUUUAGCCAAAGACAUCAAAAGAGGAGGCUCCAAGGUCUUUGCUGCUGCCUCAAAAUUGCAGGAUGUCAUCAUCAAACCUGGCUGUGGGAGAGUCAGAACCUGAGGCUCAGAGAGGCCAAGCAACUGACCCUGAGACACACAGCAAACCAGCCAAGGAAAGUGAGAGAAGAAAUCAGUCUCUAGGCUGCACUCUGGACAAAGACAAAUUCAUCAAAGGCCAAGGAUUCCUGGGGGCAGAGGCCCACCACCCACAUUUUCUCUGCUUCCUCUGUCCUCAGUCUGCAGGCACAAGUUGGAGUUGGUUUCCAUGACCUAGGUCUCUGCAUCUGCUUCCAAUUGAGAUGGUAACACAGAGAUUUCAAGAGAAAUCUGCAACCUCAGACACUGGAUGAGAAACUAGAGGGCCAGACCUCUUCAGCUUUUUCAAUACAUAGUCGGGGAGUUUAGAAACACACUGAUGGCUUGGAAUGGCCCAAGACAGACAAGGGGGAAAGAACCUUCCAGGACAAGGGCAAGGAGCAGCAGGAGCUAAAACAAGAAGCCAUUAAGUAGCUGGCUGGGCUCAGGAAACUGCAGGUGUGUCAUAUAACUGAUGUGUUCAACACUGGGUCCCAGACCUAAACACAUCCUGGACUACACUGUGUC